GGUUCCGGUGACACCAGCGACUGAAAGCCAAGAACGGACGGGGAAAAGGACCCCAACCAAACCCCACCCCCCUCCCGGCCGCGCCGCCGCCCGCUCACUCGGCCGGGUGAAUAUGCCUGCGUCAGCUGGAUUUCACAGCCCCGGACACCCAUACGCUCAGCGCAACACCACCGCAGACAUGCGACGGCCCUCGCCGGGACGGCAAUCCCAGUGCGAGGGCCUGACCACCGAGGAAGAGGCAACUUCCCG
This 249-nucleotide non-coding RNA is filed under the name Streptomyces monashensis. RNAcentral's name for it is "Streptomyces sp. MUSC 1 Streptomyces sRNA 4677". It matches the Rfam family "Streptomyces sRNA 4677". Rfam says of the family: Located in the intergenic region between anti-sigma factor SCO4677 gene and a putative regulatory protein gene SCO4676. scr4677 expression requires the SCO4677 activity and scr4677 sRNA itself seem to affect the levels of the SCO4676-associated transcripts. Lineage: Bacteria; Bacillati; Actinomycetota; Actinomycetes; Kitasatosporales; Streptomycetaceae. The record is from Rfam by way of RNAcentral.